UACGUAGGGGGCUAGCGUUGUCCGGAAUCAUUGGGCGUAAAGAGCGUGUAGGCGGCCCGGUAAGUCCGCUGUGAAAGUCGGGGGCUCAACCCUCGGAUGCCGGUGGAUACUGUCGUGCUAGAGUACAGAAGGGGCAACUGGAAUUCUCGGUGUAGCGGUGAAAUGCGUAGAUAUCGAGAGGAACACCUGCGGCGAAGGCGGGUUGCUGGGCUGAUACUGACGCUGAGGCGCGAAAGCCAGGGGAGCGAACGGG
Molecule: ribosomal RNA, 253 nt
Filed under: uncultured bacterium
Lineage: Bacteria
Description: partial 16S ribosomal RNA
Rfam family: Bacterial small subunit ribosomal RNA
Source: RNAcentral